Molecule: ribosomal RNA, 786 nt
Filed under: uncultured archaeon
Lineage: Archaea
Description: bacterial SSU rRNA
Rfam family: Archaeal small subunit ribosomal RNA
Source: RNAcentral
ACUGCUCAGUAACACGUGGAUAACCUGCCCUAUGGUGGAGAAUAACCCCGGGAAACUGGGGAUAAUACUCCAUAGAUUAGAGAUACUGGAAUGUUCUUUAAUCGAAAGUUGAGGCGCCAUAGGAUGGAUCUGCGGUCGAUUAGGUUGUUGUUGGGGUAACGGCCCAACAAGCCUGUGAUCGAUACGGGUUGUGGGAGCAAGAGCCCGGAGAUGGAAUCUGAGACACGAUUCCAGGCCCUACGGGGCGCAGCAGGCGCGAAAACUUUACAAUGCAGGAAACUGUGAUAAGGGAACCCCGAGUGCCCGUAUACGCGGGCUGUCCAGGUGUCUAAAAAGCAUCUGAAGAAAGGGCCGGGCAAGACCGGUGCCAGCCGCCGCGGUAAUACCGGCGGCUCGAGUGGCGGCCACUAUUAUUGGGCUUAAAGCGUCCGUAGCUGGACUCUUAAGUCUCUUGGGAAAUCCGCCGGCUUAACCGACGGGCGUCUAAGAGAUACUGAGAGUCUAGGGACCGGGAGAGGUGAGAGGUACUCCGGGGGUAGGAGUGAAAUCCUGUAAUCCCCGGGGGACCACCGAUGGCGAAGGCAUCUCACCAGAACGGCUCCGACAGUGAGGGACGAAAGCUGGGGGAGCGAACCGGAUUAGAUACCCGGGUAGUCCCAGCCGUAAACUAUGCGCGUUAGGUGUACUGGUGACCACGAGUCACUGGGGUGCCGAAGGGAAACCGUGAAACGUGCCGCCUGGGAAGUACGGUCGCAAGGCUGAAACUUAAAGGAAUUGUCGGGGGAG